This 1017-nucleotide ribosomal RNA is filed under the name uncultured bacterium. Its description in RNAcentral is "bacterial SSU rRNA". It matches the Rfam family "Bacterial small subunit ribosomal RNA", at positions 90 to 1110 of the family's 1533-position model. The record is from RNAcentral.
UGAGAGUGGCGCACGGGUGCGUAACGCGUGAGCAACCUACCUCUAUCAGGGGGAUAGCCUCUCGAAAGAGAGAUUAACACCGCAUAAUAUAGUGUACCGGCAUCGGGAUAUUAUUAAAUAUUUAUAGGAUAGAGAUGGGCUCGCGUGACAUUAUCUAGUUGGUAGGGUAACGGCUUACCAAGGCGACGAUGUCUAGGGGCUCUGAGAGGAGAAUCCCCCACACUGGUACUGAGACACGGACCAGACUCCUACGGGAGGCAGCAGUAAGGAAUAUUGGUCAAUGGGCGGAAGCCUGAACCAGCCAUGCCGCGUGCAGGAUGACUGCCCUAUGGGUUGUAAACUGCUUUUGUCCAGGAAUUAACCUAGAUACGUGUAUCUAGCUGAAUGUACUGGAAGAAUAAGGAUCGGCUAACUCCGUGCCAGCAGCCGCGGUAAUACGGAGGAUCCGAGCGUUAUCCGGAUUUAUUGGGUUUAAAGGGUGCGUAGGCGGCCUAUUAAGUCAGGGGUGAAAUACGGUGGCUCAACCAUCGCAGUGCCUUUGAUACUGAUGGGCUUGAAUCCAUUUGAAGUGGGCGGAAUAAGACAAGUAGCGGUGAAAUGCAUAGAUAUGUCUUAGAACUCCGAUUGCGAAGGCAGCUCACUAAGCUGGUAUUGACGCUGAUGCACGAAAGCGUGGGGAUCGAACAGGAUUAGAUACCCUGGUAGUCCACGCCCUAAACGAUGAUAACUCGAUGUUGGCGAUAGACAGCCAGCGUCUUAGCGAAAGCGUUAAGUUAUCCACCUGGGGAGUACGCCCGCAAGGGUGAAACUCAAAGGAAUUGACGGGGGCCCGCACAAGCGGAGGAGCAUGUGGUUUAAUUCGAUGAUACGCGAGGAACCUUACCCGGGCUUGAAAGUUAGUGAAGAGACCAGAGACGGUCUCGUCCUUCGGGACACGAAACUAGGUGCUGCAUGGCUGUCGUCAGCUCGUGCCGUGAGGUGUUGGGUUAAGUCCCGCAACGAGCGCAACCCCUAUGU